RNAcentral lists this long non-coding RNA (5166 nucleotides) under Capsicum annuum. Its description in RNAcentral is "long non-coding RNA (CANN_LNC007659)". Lineage: Eukaryota; Viridiplantae; Streptophyta; Magnoliopsida; Solanales; Solanaceae. The record is from RNAcentral.
GUUUUUUGAACUAUUUGAUGAUUGAUAUUGAAAUAGAAAAGCAAUAUGUAUGGACAUUCAUGUUAGAUAAGCAAAAAUUCCUUCUUAAAGCUUUUGAGGAAGUGUUACCAAAUGUUUCUCAUAGAUUUUGUGCCCAACACUUGCUCAAUAAUUUCAGAGCAAAUGGAUUCCCUAGUCAUGCGUUUAAAAAGGCUUUUGGAAAGUGACUAAAGCAACAAUCAUUGAAGCAUUUAAUAUGCAUAUGUUGGAGAUAUGUGAACUGGAUAAAAAAAUGUAUGAAUGGCUUUUGAGUAUGUUACCAAGUGAAUGAUCCAGAUCUCACUUCUCACCACUUUCAAAGUGUGACAUUCUAUUAAACAAUGUAUGUGAGGUCUUUAAUAGUCUCAUUACUGAUGCUAGAGAUAAGCCCAUUAUCAAACUUUGGGAGAUCAUAAGGCAUAUACUCAUGGCUAGGAUUGCAUUCAAUAGGAAUAAAGCUGAAAGGUGGGCUAGAACUAUAUCCAGUAGGAAUGAAGUUGAACAGUGGACUUUGGGUAAUAUUUAUCCAAAUAUAAAAAAGAAAUUACAUAGAAACAUGAAAGGAGCUUCUGGUUAUAUUCCUAGAAAGGCUAACUCAGAGAAUUAUGAAAUCGUAGGGUCUACUAAUAUUGACACUUGGGUUGUGGACUUGUACAACAAGAUGUGUAGUUGUAGAAAAUGGGAAUUAUCUGGAAUACGUUGCAAACAUGCUAUUUGUGCUAUACUGAUGAAAAAAGAUGGCCUUGUAGACUAUGUUCAUGAUUGCUACAAGGUUGAGAUAUAUAGGAAAACAUAUACAACCAUAUUGCCUAUGAACGGGCAAGAUUUAUAGCCUAAAUCAUCUAAUCCGCAACCAUUGCCGCUACUUUAUUUGAAAAAUAAGAAAGGAAAGAAAUAAAGAUUAAGAAAGAAAGAAGUUGAUGAGCCUGGAGCCUCGAGGACUAGGAUGAAAAGAAAACAAAAAGCAGUUGAUUGUAGCAAGUGUGGUCAAUCCGAUCAUAACAAAAGAAGUUGUUCUUUAUUUAAUGUUGUUGAACUAGAACCAACAAACUAUCCUUCAUCUUUGGACUCUAUUAUGGUUGAGAACAUAUCAAGUUGGACGCAAGAAUUUGCUUCUUUUGGUGACAAACUUUCGGGGAGAUACAUAUAUCAAUAAUGGUUGUCUUACUUUACUAUAAUGAAACUUAUUUAGCUUAAUUCCUCUUAUUUCCUUUUUAGGUUAGAAAAGGAUAGUAGCAGAAGAGUGCGCUUCAAGUUGCAUAGCGUCAUAGAUGCUGACAGCCGUUAUCAUUUUGUUCCUUUCAUGAUGACAUAAUUAAUUUGGGAAUGAAUUAAGUUCAUUUUGUAAUGUGAUGACUUCUAAGUGAAUUAAGUUCAUUUUGUAUGACUUAAUUGUGAAGUUUACAGACUUUGAGUUUCUGUAUUUUGCGCUUAAUUUCACGUUUCUAGAUUUCUUUCAAUUUUUAUACCAUGAUUUAUUGUAAUCUGCACUUUUUUCUAAACUAUGUGCAUAUCUUUUGGGCUUCUGCACAUAUUUUAACCUUGUAUGUAUAGCAUAAUUCUCCGGCCAAGGAGGUUUAGAUGAACCUUCUUGUGACUCCCUAGCUCUGUCAGUGUGACCAUCUCAUAUAAAAGCAUAAUAUGUUAGGGAGAGAGUAUUGUUUAUAUAUUUCAAUAGAUAUGCUUGGCCCUCUAUAUAGUGAUGAAUCAUGUUUGGUCUUGCUUUCACAAUUUUCAUUCUUUAUGCUGUUGGCAAAUUGCUUGAAGAAUAUUUAAGACCUAUUUUGUGGGUUAUGCUUUUUUUCCAUACCUCUAAGAAGAAUUCAGCAAGCCCUUGUUGUAUUCUGGUCUGAACCUUUAAAUCUAGGCCUUACCGAGACUAUUUUGGCUUUUCCUAUUGUUGUAUUUAGGAUUUUUGUUGGCACACUUGUUGAUAUAAGAGAAAUGAUUUUCAGUGUUGUUCUUAGGAGACAAAAAGGUAGUGUCUUGAGGCAUAAUCAAAGUGAAUUUCUUAUGUUGUAGAGGUGGCUAGUCUCUUUUUGGGUGUUUGUCAUGGAAUAUGAGAAAAUUAGUCUGUUUUGAUCAGUUGCUCUUCUUGCAGUGGGAUUUAUGUUUCCUGCUAAUAGUGUGGACUCCAUGAUGGAUGUAGCAAUGUCUUUUAGGAGUCAUAGCUUUUGUAGAUUGUCCAUAUCGACUUUCUUCACUAGGGGGAUAUUGAAAAGAUUGGAAACCAUUUCGUAGAUGGUCAAUGACGAUGGAACUGGGCAAUUUCUAGUGGCUCGAAAGGCUUCCUUGGAUAUCUCAACCAUGAGACUAGUGGAUAUUCCUGAGAAGGCUUGGAAGCUUCUUAAUUUAUUGGAGGAUUCAAAAGAUCCCCGGUUCCAGGAUUUCAAGUGAUCAGUAAAAAGAGGUCGUUUGAUUUGCAGACUAAGUUAUUUUAAGAUUGUCGUUGACGGGUUAUAAUCUGCAAUAUGAGAUAAAAUAAUACCAAGUUGAUUCGAGAUAAAUGAGAUAUCACAAAAUGAAAUUUUAUAUUAAGCUUAAUCUUGUGCUGUUUCAUCUUUUAUCUCAUUAACCAAAAGCCCUCUAAUGUAUUGGCACUUAAGUGCAUAAGAAUAAGCUAUUGUAAAGUUGGUAAACAUUACAGAAGACCUUUUAAUGUUAUUUCUCCCAGCAAAUUCACAUGUAGUAUUUCCAAAUUCAACAUAAAAUAAAAUGGUAACUUUCUUUGUCAUCCAUGAGUACUGAGAUUUCUGUCUGUCAACUUCCAAGUACUAAAUAUGACAGACUAACCAGUAACAAAUCACAUGUACCACAGCUCUCCAUCUACCAAUGAUUCAAUUCAAAUUGAUUGAUACCAACAGCUCAAUUCCACAUUGAUCAUUGCCCAAACCAAUCACCAUCUUUCACAUGCAUAGCUUGAGGCAAUUUUCCUCAAAGUACUGUAUUUCCUAUGUUUUGUCUGCAGUUCUUUUAAAGUAUCAAGAACAACUUUUCUACACCGCAAAGAUUAAGAUAAGACCAUUGUACAUCCUAUCCUUCCGUGAACCCACUUAUUGAAUAACACGAAUAUAUGUUGUAUCUGAUUUUCCACAUAGAAAUGUGGAUCAAAAUUGCAAGUACCUAGUUUAUUUUCCAGUAGAAAUGCUAAAGAAAUUGUAGAUAGAACGGUAUUGCACUAAAAUGUAAAGCAAAAAUUGUAGAAGGUCCAAAGUUUAAAGUUUUGAAUUUUAUUAAACCAGCAAAUACAUUGUAAAUAGACAACCAGAAGAUUCAGAAACAACAAAAAUUAAGAGUAGCUUGCAGUAUCACAUGUUCGCACUUUUUAGGGGUUGCACGAAUCAUAGAGUCACUUCAACGGGGAAAAUUUACCAUCUCCUAACAACUAGAAGGAGAAUUACAGAUACAAAUAAAGGUUCUAGAUAUAAAAACUUGUUAAUGAAGCUCAUUGGUUCAACUGCCCUCGGAUUUCUCCAGUGUUGCCAAAUAAAAAGGAAAAUAAAGGUUCUAGAUAUAAACACUUGUUAAUGAAGCUCAUUGCUUCAACUGCCCUCGGAUUUCUCCAGUGUUGCCAAAUAAAAAGGAAAAUAAAGGUUCUAGAUAUAAACACUUGUUAAUGAAGCUCAUUGCUUCAACUGCCCUCGGAUUUCUCCAGUGUUGCCAAAUAAAAAGGAAAAAAAAUAGAGACAAGGUGACAAUGUUAGUACCAAAACCAGCUUCACUUAACAGCAAGUAAUAAGAAGUGAUAACCAAAUACAGCACCAUGAAGAUGGAAAUUAUAAAUUAUAGCAGUUAAAUGUAGUUGAGAUGAAAAAGAGUUCCCAAACAAAAAAAGAUCUCAUAAUACUUCAGAAAGUCAGUCAAGUUCGUCAUUGAUCAACUAAUAGUUUUAUCUGAAUUUUCCAAGCACAAAUCCCUCUGCAUAACAACUUUAGUACACGGUUUUUCCUAAUUGUUCUUUUGAUUAGUUCAGCAGAUAAACCAUGUUGAUUAUCAUUUCUUUAUUGGCUAGGUCUUUCUGUAGCAUCAUCACAUCAAGGGGACAGUAGCCUAAUGGAAGUGCCAGUCAUAGCAUUUCAUGGUGCUUUCCAUGAUAAGACAAAGGAGACUGGUGAGGCAGUGUCUCCUUCACUGGAGCUACACUAGCACAAUAACCUCUAAAUAGAAAUAUUUGAGAGCAAUACGAAAAGGUUCUCAGUCGAUUUACAGAGGGCAUCCAAUUUUUCUAAGAGGAGGUUCUACCUGCGGAAUACAUAGCCAAGAUAAAAACAAGUACUUACUCUGAAAAUAGUUGUAGAGAGGAGAGAAAAAUAUGCAUGAUAUAAAUCAAAAGGUUAGAAGUCCAACUGAAUGUUGAGUGAGGCAUUAGGUGUGUUUAUAUAGAGGGAGAAAAAUGAUGAGAUGGAUCGGUUUAAUUACUCAUGAAAGAUGCCUUGUUNNNNNNNNNNNNNNNNNNNNNNNNNNNNNNNNNNNNNNNNNNNNNNNNNNNNNNNNNNNNNNNNNNNNNNNNNNNNNNNNNNNNNNNNNNNNNNNNNNNNNNNNNNNNNNNNNNNNNNNNNNNNNNNNNNNNNNNNNNNNNNNNNNNNNNAGAUUAUCAAGGUUAAUGGAGAUGGUUGUAGAGACUUAAUUUACAAAAUAACCCUUACGGUCAAGAAUGACACGGAGGAACAUUUUCGAACGUCUAUAUAAAUCUUUGAAGUUCCCAAUCGUCAGGCUAAGGGUAAUGAGAUCUUUUGUACAUUCCUUUUUUUUUUUAAGUUUCCUAAAAAGAGUGACCUACUUUUUUUAAUAUGUUUAAAAAAAUAAUUCCUUUUUUUUACAACACUUUAAUUUCAAAUUUUCGCUUGACAUGCUUAAAAUCAUAAAAUUAAAUAAUAUUUUGAUAUAUUUGACAUAAAUUUAAUUUAAGACAAUAUAAAGUCGAUCUAAUCAUACCACAAAAUUGAUCUACCCACCACUAAAGAGACAUUACAUAGCCAAUGAAAAUAAAAAAUAGGUCACACUCGGGAGCCGCAUUUUGCAUUUAAUAUAUGUGCUUAUAAUUUCCAGCAUCCCAAUCCCUUUUACAGGAAAAUCAACAUGUAGCUCAAACAUGUCCAAUUAUAUAUUUACUUUGUGUUAUUUUUAUUUGUCACAUUUUGAUUUAAC